This 21-nucleotide non-coding RNA is filed under the name Arabidopsis thaliana (thale cress). The record is from RNAcentral. Lineage: Eukaryota; Viridiplantae; Streptophyta; Magnoliopsida; Brassicales; Brassicaceae.
AGAGAGUUUGUUGAUGGAUUG